This 1294-nucleotide long non-coding RNA is filed under the name Bos indicus x Bos taurus (hybrid cattle). Its description in RNAcentral is "lncRNA (ENSBIXG00005004101.1)". Lineage: Eukaryota; Metazoa; Chordata; Mammalia; Artiodactyla; Bovidae. The record is from RNAcentral.
AAGUCGCUUCAGUUGUGUUCGACUCUGUGCGACCCCAUAGACGGCAGUCCAGCAGGCUCCCCCAUCCCUGGGAUUCUCCAGGCAAGAAUACUGGAGUGGGUUGCCGUUUCCUACUCAUUAAUGCAUGAAAGUGUAAAGUCAAGGUGAAAUCAGUCGUGUCCCGACUCUUGGAUACCCCUGGACUGCAGCCUACCAGGCUCCUCCGCCCAUGGGACUUCCCAGGCAAGAGUAUUGGAGUGAAUUGCCAUUACCUUCUCCCCACUAAACCUACUGUAGCAAAAUUUAAGGUACUAAAGUCUGGCCAUCUGGACGACCUGUCGGCGGCCCAGCUACAAACAGCAUGAAUGCCACCGGGACAAAUUUGGAUCGCAGGGUGGGGAAGGCACAGCGUUAUCACUCCGCAUUCGUUCCCUCCGUAGGUUGCAUUUCUCUCCCGCAUUCUCUUUUACGCGUGUUCAGAGGCUCUCAAGACUAAAAACCGCGCCAGGCUCUCGUGUCACCAGGACCCUCAUCGGACGGCCCCGGACGCUUUCUGUCUCAAACAUUUGCUUGGCGCUUCUGACCGCCGAGCCCAAGCAGGACUGGAGCCGCGCAUUGGGCGAACUCCUUGUUCGCCCGCCACGUUCCCUGUUGUCACCCACGCUGAGGAGACACGUGUGUGUGGGGUCCAUACAACCGCCGAGGCCGCUAGGGGAACAGAAGAGACCACAGGGGGUAGCCGCGAAGACGCAGCCCGUCCUGCGGACAAUCGCAGAGAGGAGAAACGAGAGUGGCCGUCGGAGAGCAGCUACCCCGCUUCCCGGCCUUGGUGCGGACCUGAACCCCAGGCCGCGAGGACGGGGCCCACAGCCGAGCGCCAACUUGUUCCGCGCGUUCGGCCCGUCCCCCACUCCAGGGGAAGAGGGACAGGAUCCAGGUACGGCCGGCGGAAGUCAGCGCCGUCCGCCGACGGAGACACACGGCCACUCCCAGCCAAGGCGGGAAAACUGGUCAACGUGGCCCAGGACACGGCUCGUGGCACAGUCACUCUUGGUCGCGAGCUAUAGGCCAUGCUGUACACUGGGGCAGAGGAAACGUCCCGUCCGCCAUCCAGCUCCUAGAGAAACGGCCCGGCCUCGCCACGCAAGCCUGUCCGUUCAAGUCAAGCGGGAGCAGGACGCGUCCAGGCCCGUAGACGGGGCCCCGGCUCGCCCGGGAACGAGCCCUCGGAGCACUGACUCGGGCGGGCUGGCCAAGCCCCGGAGCCUAGUAUGGGGGUACCGAGGAAGGGAAACGAGCGCCCUAAACGGUGACC